Molecule: ribosomal RNA, 236 nt
Filed under: uncultured bacterium
Lineage: Bacteria
Description: partial 16S ribosomal RNA
Rfam family: Bacterial small subunit ribosomal RNA
Source: RNAcentral
CGGGACGAGUGAGUAACGCGUGGGUAACCUGCCUUGUACUGGGGGACAACAGUUAGAAAUGACUGCUAAUACCGCAUAAGCGCACAGUAUCGCAUGAUACAGUGUGAAAAACUCCGGUGGUACAAGAUGGACCCGCGUCUGAUUAGCUAGUUGGUAAGGUAACGGCUUACCAAGGCGACGAUCAGUAGCCGACCUGAGAGGGUGACCGGCCACAUUGGGACUGAGACACGGCCCAA